This 468-nucleotide ribosomal RNA is filed under the name uncultured bacterium. RNAcentral's name for it is "partial 16S ribosomal RNA". It matches the Rfam family "Bacterial small subunit ribosomal RNA", at positions 28 to 507 of the family's 1533-position model. The record is from RNAcentral.
GACGAACGCUGGCGGCGUGCUUAACACAUGCAAGUCGAACGGAAAGGCCCUGCUUUUGUGGGGUGCUCGAGUGGCGAACGGGUGAGUAACACGUGAGUAACCUGCCCUUGACUUUGUGAUAACUUCAGGAAACUGGGGCUAAUACCGGAUAUGAUCUCCUGCUGCAUGGUGGGGGUUGGAAAGUUUCGGCUGUUGUGGAUGGACUCGCUGCUUAUCAGCUUGUUGGUGGGGUAGUGGCUUACCAAGGCUUUGACGGGUAGCCCGCCUGAGAGGGUGACCGGCCACAUUGGGACUGAGGUACGGCACCGACUGCUAAGGGAGGGAGCAGUGGGGAAUACUGAAGAAUGGGCGGAAGCCUGAUGAAGAAACGCCGCGUGCGGGAUGACGGCCUUCGGGUUGUAAACAGCUUUCGACUGUGACGAAGAGUGAGUGACGGUACUGGGUAAAGAAGCACCGGCUAACUACGUG